GAUGAAGAACGUAGCGAAAUGCGAUAAGUAAUGUGAAUUGCAGAAUUCAGUGAAUCAUCGAAUCUUUGAACGCACAUUGCGCCCCCUGGUAUUCCGGGGGGCAUGCCUGUUCGAGCGUCAUUUCACCACCCAAGCCUCGCUUGGUAUUGGGCAACGCGGUCCGCCGCGUGCCUCAAAUCGUCCGGCUGGGUCUUCUGUCCCCUAAGCGUUGUGGAAACUAUUCGCUAAAGGGUGUUCGGGAGGCUACGCCGUAAAACAACCCCAUUUCUAAGGUUGACCUCGGAUCAGGUAGGGAUACCCGCUGAACUUAAGCAUAUCAAUAAGCGGAGGA
This 331-nucleotide unclassified non-coding RNA is filed under the name soil metagenome. RNAcentral's name for it is "partial contains 5.8S ribosomal RNA, internal transcribed spacer 2, and large subunit ribosomal RNA". The stretch from base 1 to 120 matches the Rfam family "5.8S ribosomal RNA", at positions 35 to 154 of the family's 154-position model. The record is from RNAcentral.